GGAGAGAUGUCCGAGUGGUUGAAGGAGCACGCCUGGAAAGUGUGUAUACGGCAACGUAUCGAGGGUUCGAAUCCCUCUCUCUCCGCCA
This 88-nucleotide transfer RNA is filed under the name Pseudidiomarina indica. RNAcentral's name for it is "Idiomarina indica tRNA_Ser_GGA". It matches the Rfam family "tRNA". Rfam says of the family: Transfer RNA (tRNA) molecules are approximately 80 nucleotides in length. Their secondary structure includes four short double-helical elements and three loops (D, anti-codon, and T loops). Lineage: Bacteria; Pseudomonadati; Pseudomonadota; Gammaproteobacteria; Alteromonadales; Idiomarinaceae. The record is from RNAcentral. RNAcentral also lists the same sequence under 1 other name.